RNAcentral lists this ribosomal RNA (522 nucleotides) under Cepora nerissa (common gull). RNAcentral describes it as "partial 16S ribosomal RNA". The stretch from base 386 to 522 matches the Rfam family "Archaeal large subunit ribosomal RNA", at positions 2542 to 2679 of the family's 2987-position model. The record is from RNAcentral. Lineage: Eukaryota; Metazoa; Arthropoda; Insecta; Lepidoptera; Pieridae.
UUUUUGUGAAUAAUUUAAAGUNUAAUCUGCCCACUGAAUAAAAAUUUAAAGGGCUGCAGUAUAUUGACUGUACAAAGGUAGCAUAGUCAUUAGUCUUUUAAUUGGAGACUUGUAUGAAUGAUUUGAUGAAAUAUAAACUGUCUCUUUAUUAAUAAUAGAAUUUAAUUUUUUAGUCAAAAAGCUAAAAUUUAUAUAAAAGACGAGAAGACCCUAUAGAGUUUAAUUUUUUAAUUUUUAUGAAUAUUAUAUAAAAAUUAUAAUUUAUAAAAAUUAAAAAAUUUUGUUGGGGUGAUAGAAAAAUUUAAAAAACUUUUUUUUAAAAAUUAACAUUAAUUUAUGAAUAUUUGAUCUAUAAUUUAUGAUUAAAAGAUUAAAUUACCUUAGGGAUAACAGCGUAAUUUUUUUUUUUAGUUCAAAUAAAAAAAAAAGUUUGCGACCUCGAUGUUGGAUUAAGAUAAAAUUUAAAUGCAAAAGUUUAAAAUUUUGAUCUGUUCGAUCAUUAAAAUCUUACAUGAUCUGAGC